This 611-nucleotide long non-coding RNA is filed under the name Hordeum vulgare. Its description in RNAcentral is "long non-coding RNA (HVUL_LNC003319)". Lineage: Eukaryota; Viridiplantae; Streptophyta; Magnoliopsida; Poales; Poaceae. The record is from RNAcentral.
CUGCCAGAGCUAACCAGUGCUGCACAAGCUGAGCAAUAUGGCUUUGAAAAACUCUGCCGUCCUCCUCCUCGGGCUUCUUCUCUCUUGCGUUGCCAUGAGCAGUGCGGCGAGAAUCCUAGAAGAAACUGUCCCGUCCAAGGAGGAGCACCUGCCACCUAAGCCUGAGCUACCCAAGGUAGAACUGCCACCAUUCCCGGAAGUGCACCUGCCACCUAAGCCUGAGCUUCCCAAGGUAGAACUGCCACCAUUCCCGGAAAUGUACCUGCCACCUAAGCCCGAGCUUCCCAAGAUGGAGCUGCCGCCGGUCCCGGAGGUGCACAUGCCACCCAAGCCGGAGCUGCCCAAGGUGGAGCUCCCAACGUUCCCGGAGGUUCACAUACCAUCCAAGCCGGAGAUGCCCAAGGUGGAGCUGCCGCCCAAGCCUGAGAUGCCCACUGUUCCAGGGUUCCACCUCCCGGAGCCGGAGGCCAAGCCAUGAGAAUGGGAGCUGCCUUAUCAAUAUCGUUGCCUUGUUGUACCUGCUCUGCUCCUCGUACAUGUACCUAUCGUUGUGCUGUGUCGAUGAUCUGAUUGUUUAGUUGUGGUUUUCAGCGAGUGUUGUGAGUGAUCUG